Long non-coding RNA from Equus caballus (horse), 2186 nucleotides. Lineage: Eukaryota; Metazoa; Chordata; Mammalia; Perissodactyla; Equidae. The record is from Ensembl.
CCCCAGCUCUGCCACCCCCUCAAGCUCCUACACCGGCUCCCUUCCCUUCAGGACUCGACUUCCACAAGAGUCACACACGCGUGUCCACUUCCUCUUCACCCACGUGCCUGUGAGAGCCUCCUCGCACACACGCCUGCAAUCCCGAGCAGCGGGUCCGCCUGCAGCGCUCUAACGACACGAGCCUUCCACCAGCGAGGACCUGAAGCAGAAAGCAAGUGCCUGUUCCCUGCACUGGUCCUCCUCUGCACCUCGCUCUCUGAAGCGCACACUCUCCUCCUCGAAACUCCACCUUCCAGCGGGUUCGGCGUCAGGGGAAGCUUCUGGCUCUGCCUCUCUGUCCUCGCUGAUUUCUCCUCUAGUUUCUAGGAGUGGGCUAGGCAGGGACAGCCGCAAGAUACCCUAAACCUUCAGGAUGUCCUAACUUGGCAAAUGCCGGAACACCUGCAGAGGUUCGGAGCUUCCUCCUGAGUCGUGUUGGAGGCAGGGGCCCGUCUCCUGUGUUUCAGUCACUGCCACCAGGUAAGCGCUUCGAUAACUUUUGCUAAAGCGUAACUCUCACUUGAUGACCAUUUUCUACAAAGAAGUAAAUCACCUAAAUGAGAAUUACCGCCUCUACCACGAUGAGGAAGAAAAACUCAGGAUGCCGGGCAACUUGGUAGAUUCACGCCGAGCCAGGGGGCUCACUCCCGCAGCAGCCGGCCCGGUCACGCCUCGAAAGAUCUGCGAGCGCCAUGCCGUUAACUCUCAGCCUCUUCAAAACAUACAGACUCCAAGCGCCGCACCAGACACGCGAACGUCAGGGCAUCCUCCCGCUCCAGCAGCGCAGGCUCUCCGCGGCCUUCUCUUUCACCUCGAGGAUGCGACCGUCACUCCCAGGUGGACGGGGCUUCCUCUGGCACCCUGGGCUCUGUCCUCCGAUCCCGACACCAUCACGCCCACACUCUGUCGGGUGCCUCAGACUCAUAUGCCUGACACUAAUCAAUCGUCCCCAGCCCCACCUCCUCCUGCGGUUCUGAGUUGAGUCAAGGACGUGACGGGAACCUCCAAGGUACCAGAACCUAACCUUCAGGAUGAUGCUGUCCUCUGCCCUCCGGCCUGCUCCGAAGCUCCAGGCUCCCUGAGCUCAGGCCAGGCAGUGUGUUCAGUUGGCUGCCCCUGUGGCCUGCAUGUGUUCCUGUACACACACGGCAGGGGCUGGAGCGUGUCUGUGAGUGCGUGAGCUCCCCGUACACACACAGCAGGUGCUGGAGCGUGUCUGUGAGCACGUGAGCACCCUGUACACAUAUGGCACGUGCCAGAGUGCGCCUGUGAGCAUGUGAGCGCCCUGUACACACACGGCAGGUGCUGGAGUGCGUCUGUGAGGGUGUGAGCGCCCUAUACACAUACGACAGGCGCUUGAACAUGUCUGAGCACCCCGUACACACACAGCAGGUGCCAGAGCACGUCUGUGAGCACGUGAGCACCCUGCACACACAUGGCAGGUGCUGGAGUGUGUCUGUGAGCGCGUGAGCACCCUGUACACACAUGGCACGUGCCAGAGUGCGCCUGUGAGCAUGUGAGCGCCCUGUACACACACGGCAGGUGCUGGAGUGCGUCUGUGAGCAUGUGAGCGCCCUGUACAUACAUGACAGGUGCCGGAGCAUGUCUGUGAGCACGUGAGUGCCCUGUACACACACGGCAGGUGCUGGAAUGUGUCUGUGAGUGUGCGAGCACCCUGUACACACAGGGCAGGUGCUGGAGCGUGUCUGUGAGCGCAUGAGUGCCCUGUACACACAUGGCAGAUGCCGGAGCAUGUCUGUGAGCGCCCCGGACACACACAGCAGGUGCUGGAGAUUGUCUGUGAGGGUGUGAGCGCCCUGUACACACACAGCAGGUGCUGGAGUGCGUCUGUGAGUGUGCGAGCACCCUGUACACACACGGCAGGUGCUGGAGAGUGUCUGUGAGCGCAUGCGUGGCCCGUACACACACGGCAGGUGCCAGAGCACGUCUGUGAGCACGUGAGUGGCCUGUACACACACGGCAGAUGCCGGAGCACGUCUGUGAGCGCCCCGUACACACACAGCAGGUGCUGGAGUAUGUCUGUGAACGCGUGAGUGCCGGUACCCGUGGUGAAGGGACACCCUCUCAGCCUCGCUUGGGUCCAGCUUCAGCCCUCAAGGCUUCGAUGUCCAGUACGAGCUGAUCCU